UACGUAGGGUCCGAGCGUUGUCCGGAAUUAUUGGGCGUAAAGGGCUCGUAGGCGGUUUGUCGCGUCGGGAGUGAAAACACCGGGCUUAACUCGGUGCUUGCUUUCGAUACGGGCAGACUAGAGGUAUGCAGGGGAGAACGGAAUUCCUGGUGUAGCGGUGAAAUGCGCAGAUAUCAGGAGGAACACCGGUGGCGAAGGCGGAUCUCUGGGCCUUACCUGACGCUCAGGCGCGAAAGCUAGGGGAGCGAACUGG
RNAcentral lists this ribosomal RNA (253 nucleotides) under uncultured bacterium. RNAcentral describes it as "partial 16S ribosomal RNA". It matches the Rfam family "Bacterial small subunit ribosomal RNA", at positions 524 to 776 of the family's 1533-position model. The record is from RNAcentral.